Molecule: long non-coding RNA, 188 nt
Organism: Pundamilia nyererei
Lineage: Eukaryota; Metazoa; Chordata; Actinopteri; Cichliformes; Cichlidae
Exons: 3
Source: RefSeq, a predicted model, not a curated record
CUUUUAUUCAUUAAGUUUCAGAGGUGCGCAAAGGGUGUCCAGCAAUAGCAGAGUGAUCGUUCAGUGUCUGUGGGUGAAGUUCAAUAUACAAUGGCAGAAAAACCUUUGACAGACUGGGACAGUGGUCUUUGUGACUGCUUUGAGGAUGCACGUACUUGCUGCUAUGGAUUCUGGUGCUGCCCCUGUCU